UUCCCAAAACAUAAUUCUUAUCCCAACUAUAUUUUUUCUUUUUUUCAAUUUAAAUGUAUACAUGAUUCUCUGAUAUAGAAUUUUGAAUGCUCCCACGUAUAUGCUUGCUGUUCCAUUUUUUUCUUUUUUAAACUAUUUUAUUUACUUUUUCAUAUAUUAUAUAUUAUAAUUAGGAUAGAGUUUUGGGCUUAGCCCAAUAAAUAUGCUUUCCAUACAUCUCUAUUUUUUUCAUAACUACAAA
RNAcentral lists this long non-coding RNA (241 nucleotides) under Lathyrus oleraceus (garden pea). RNAcentral describes it as "Pisum sativum (pea) long non-coding RNA (PSAT_LNC029784)". The record is from RNAcentral. Lineage: Eukaryota; Viridiplantae; Streptophyta; Magnoliopsida; Fabales; Fabaceae.